GUCAGCGUAGCUCAAUUGGAAGAGCACUUGCUUGGCAAUUCGAUGGUCAUGGAAUCGAUCCCAUGCUUGGUCGGAAUGGCAAUGGGUAGAUGUGAGUUCGAAUCCCACCGCUGACC
Molecule: transfer RNA, 116 nt
Filed under: Pleodorina starrii
Lineage: Eukaryota; Viridiplantae; Chlorophyta; Chlorophyceae; Chlamydomonadales; Volvocaceae
Rfam family: tRNA
About the family: Transfer RNA (tRNA) molecules are approximately 80 nucleotides in length.
Source: Rfam by way of RNAcentral